CCUACGGGAGGCAGCAGUGAGGAAUAUUGGUCAAUGGCCGCAGGGCUGAACCAGCCAAGUCGCGUGCGGGAUGACGGUCCUAUGGUUUGUAAACCUCUUUUGUCAGGGGGCAAAGGGCGCCACGUGUGGCGUUUUGCGAGUACCUGAAGAAAAAGCAUCGGCUAAGUCCGUGCCAGCAGCCGCGGUAAUACGGAGGAUGCGAGCGUUAUCCGGAUUUAUUGGGUUUAAAGGGUGCGUAGGCGGAAUGUAAAGUCUGCGGUAAAAUUCGGGGGCUCAACCCCGUCGUGCCGUGGGAACUGGCGUUCUUGAGUGGGCGAGACGUAUGCGGAAUUCGUGGUGUAGCGGUGAAAUGCUUAGAUAUCACGCAGAACUCCGAUUGCGAAGGCAGCAUACCGGCGCUCAACUGACGCUCAAGCACGAAAGCGUGGGUAUCGAACAGGAUUAGAUACCCGUGUAGUC
RNAcentral lists this ribosomal RNA (459 nucleotides) under uncultured bacterium. Its description in RNAcentral is "partial 16S ribosomal RNA". It matches the Rfam family "Bacterial small subunit ribosomal RNA", at positions 338 to 795 of the family's 1533-position model. The record is from RNAcentral.